UGUUGGCAUGAGUAGCGAGAUGUGGGUGAGAAUCCCACAGGCCGUAAACCCAAGGUUUCCAGGGGAAGGUUCGUCCGCCCUGGGUUAGUCGGGACCUAAGCUGAGUCCGAAAGGCGUAGGUGAUGGACAACAGGUUGAUAUUCCUGUACUACCGAUAACCGUUUGAGAGAAGGGAUGACACAGUAGGAUAAGCUAAGCACACUG
Molecule: ribosomal RNA, 204 nt
Filed under: Clostridioides difficile
Lineage: Bacteria; Bacillati; Bacillota; Clostridia; Peptostreptococcales; Peptostreptococcaceae
Description: partial 23S ribosomal RNA
Rfam family: Bacterial large subunit ribosomal RNA
Source: RNAcentral